This is a long non-coding RNA of Lontra canadensis (Northern American river otter), 214 nucleotides long. RefSeq lists it as uncharacterized. The record is from RefSeq and is a predicted model, not a curated record. The transcript has 3 exons. Lineage: Eukaryota; Metazoa; Chordata; Mammalia; Carnivora; Mustelidae.
GAUGGUAGUGGCUAAGUCAUUCCUGUGCCUUGGAGCUAGGAUCUGGAGUUUCUGGCUUGGUGAUCAGCAGGGAAGAGUCCUUCCUGAGCAAAGAUUGGGUGGAUACCCUGUUUCCCUCUGCUGACCAGUCCACCCUGGGAUCCUGUGACGUGAUCUUCAAGAAGUCCAGGCAGAUGAAUGACCUUUGCUGAACAUCAGGAAGUGAAGGUGCAGC